Pipra filicauda (Wire-tailed manakin) is the source of this 2221-nucleotide long non-coding RNA. RefSeq lists it as uncharacterized. The record is from RefSeq and is a predicted model, not a curated record. The transcript is spliced from 3 exons. Lineage: Eukaryota; Metazoa; Chordata; Aves; Passeriformes; Pipridae.
UUGAGGCAAGUACAGAGUUUUUCUGCUUUUUUUCAAAGUUACAGCACUGAAUAUUUGCUGCUUACAGUGAGUCUGUCUAAUUGAAAAUGUGGGGUGAUGCACGGAGGACAGGUGACCACAAAAAAUGCUGCUGCUGACAUCAGGUCUUUGCUCCCUUACUCACUGAGUUCUUGUUUUGAAGGAUUUAUAUCUGUGCUUGUAUCAAUGCUUCCCGUGGUUUUGAAAGGUUCUUGGCUGUUGCUGAGAAAGGUUUGACUCAUCAAGGACUUCAUCUAAUUGACUGACUACAAGGGGGCUUGUCCCUACUAUGAAACCACCACGAUAGUGGUGAUCACCCCUGCCAGUUAUCUUUCCUUGGGAGAGAGGCAGAUGGAAGAAAUACCAGGCAUGUUUCACCCUUGCUGUGACUCUACCGGCUUUCAGUGGGGUGGCUUUGGGAAGACUUUCCUCUGGGAGCCAGAAAUGUUGGAUUUUUACAGAAAGGAGCAGAUGGUGCCAAUCCUUGUGUAACUUAUGUUAUUUUACCUCCCUUGAAAUGAAGGAAGAAGCUGAGCUCUGAACACAUUUCUGAUGUCUCCCGUUCUCCGUACUGACCUGACUGCCACGUGUUGAUAGGCCUCAGUGUAAAUAUCUGGACUGAGAAAAUCUGACUUGUUCUUGGCUGGACACUUCCCAGGUUUCACUGCAGCCAGAUAAGUGACAGAUGGUGGAACAGGCUGGCCAGCGCUGGCUGCCAUGAAGCACUUAAUCAGGAACCUGGGAAGAGAGCAAAGUCAGAGCAGGGUAUGGUGGUGAUCUGCACACAGCAAAUAGUCAUGCAAAAAGUGUAAAGCAGGAGCAGGUAUGGAGCAGCAAGGUGCUGCAGUGGUCCAGAACGGACUUGAACAAGUAAUGACCUUUUGUUUUGCCUGUUACUCGCAGUAACCUGAUCUGUGGUGGCUCUCAGGGGUAGCCUAUCUACUGUAUUUAAUGCUGCAGCAGCCUGUAGUGAUGGGUUUUUCAGCAGAAACUUGCUGUGGCUUUUAGCAGUCUCAGCGGUGUGGUGAUUAGAUACAUUAUCAACUUUGCAACCUGAGUCUUAAUGCUCUGGGAAUCUUAGUAGUGGUUUGGUCUUACCCUCUGUGAUCCCCAACAUACAGUCACAUUAUGUUAACAAACACGAGACCCUUUCUUGGAGAUUGUGUACAAGGAGAAUUCUCCACUCCCUUAUUUUUUAGCACCUCUGCUAUGAGCUAGACUGACCAGGUCUGGCAUUAAAAAGUUACAGCAUUUCUCUUGACCUUGCUGUUGAUCUUGCUUCUUGAAGAAGCAGUAAUGAGCCCAGAAGUGUCUGCAUGCAAGCACAGAGCUACAUGGUUGCUCUGUCUCUGGGAAGUGCACUGCUUUUCUCCUUCUAGUAAAAACACACAUUAUUAAAAGUUCAAGCAGCUGUAGUUUUUUUCCUGUAUUUCAUGCGCUCUGGAUAAUCAUCAGUCUGCGUGUUCAGAGGAAAGUGGUGUUCUUGGAGCAUGACUCAUCCACUUUCAGUAUCCAACAACUUUGUUUUCUCUGAAUCUCACUUAACCAAUACUGUGUUCUGGCCUCACUUUUACCAAUGUUGUGUUACAUUGUACCAUUGUUACAAUGGUUGCUUAAAAAAUAAACCACAAAACUUGUAUAGCAAUGUAUUUGCUGUGCUAGGAGGCAAAGAGGAAAAUGAGGUUAUGCAGAGCAGCACCUGCAUACGUCCCCAAACCAAAAAUAGAAGAGAUAAUCCAAUUCCCACACACCUCCAUGCCUGUUAGACAGAAGACAUGAAUAGUUUAUGUCCUGAGCUGUAUUUUUAGAAGGUGCUGUGAGAAAGGAGUAGCUGGUUUUACUGGUUUUGGAGAAGAAGUGGUAGAGGCUGAAUAAACGAGGGCACAGGCUUUUAGAUGAACACAUUUGAAUUGUUACCUGGCAGUUUGCAGGAGCAAGAUGGUGUUUUCCCCUUCAUAAAUACAAGAGGCAAGUAUUUUGGUAUACAAGGAAGGGAGUCCACUCAGCAGGGAGUAGCCAUGUCCCCCACAGGCCCGGAGGCAGAUCUCCACUGCUGCAGUGCUGUGGUGAGUGAUCACGGCUUUAAAGCCCGAAGACAAUGCAUGAAGCUGUUAAAAAAAAAGGGAAAAAACCAAAAGCAAAGUGUUACUGGUGUAAGUGUUCUAAAACAAUCCUCAGAAUAAAUGUCCUUUUUUUAAUCUUG